GGGGUGCAGCAGGCGCGAAAACUUUGCAAUGCGGGAAACCGUGACAAGGGAACUCUGAGUGCCCGUUAAAUCGGGCUGUCCAUCGGUUUAAAUAACCGGUGAAGAAAGGGCCGGGCAAGACCGGUGCCAGCCGCCGCGGUAAUACCGGCGGCUCGAGUGGUGGCCACUAUUACUGGGCUUAAAGCGUUCGUAGCUGGUUUGUUAAGUCUCUGGGGAAAUCUUCCGGCUUAACCGGAAGGCGUCUCAGGGAUACUGGCAGACUAGGGACCGGGAGAGGUGAGAGGUACUCCAGGGGUAGGAGUGAAAUCCUGUAAUCCUUGGGGGACCACCUGUGGCGAAGGCGUCUCACCAGAACGGCUCCGACAGUGAGGGACGAAAGCUGGGGGAGCAAACCGGAUUAGAUACCCGGGUAGUCCCAGCUGUAAACGAUGCGCGUUAGGUGUAUCGGUGACCACGAGUCACCGAGGUGCCGAAGAGAAAUCGUGAAACGUGCCGCCUGGGAAGUACGGUCGCAAGGCUGAAACUUAAAGGAAUUGGCGGGGGAGCACAAGGGCGAAUUCGCG
RNAcentral lists this ribosomal RNA (563 nucleotides) under uncultured archaeon. RNAcentral describes it as "bacterial SSU rRNA". It matches the Rfam family "Archaeal small subunit ribosomal RNA", at positions 327 to 899 of the family's 1478-position model. The record is from RNAcentral.